UACGGAGGAUGCGAGCGUUAUCCGGAUUUAUUGGGUUUAAAGGGUGCGUAGGCGGCUUUUUAAGUCAGCGGUGAAAUUUUGCAGCUUAACUGUAACAGUGCCGUUGAUACUGGGGAGCUAGGAUUUGGUUGCUGUGGGUGGAAUGUGUGGUGUAGCGGUGAAAUGCUUAGAGAUCACACAGAAUAUCGAUUGCGAAGGCAGCUUACUAAACUACUACUGACGCUCAGGCACGAAGGCGUGGGGAUCAAACAGGAUUAGAUACCCCU
RNAcentral lists this ribosomal RNA (266 nucleotides) under uncultured prokaryote. RNAcentral's name for it is "partial 16S ribosomal RNA". It matches the Rfam family "Bacterial small subunit ribosomal RNA", at positions 524 to 788 of the family's 1533-position model. The record is from RNAcentral.